This 493-nucleotide ribosomal RNA is filed under the name uncultured bacterium. RNAcentral's name for it is "partial 16S ribosomal RNA". It matches the Rfam family "Bacterial small subunit ribosomal RNA", at positions 29 to 523 of the family's 1533-position model. The record is from RNAcentral.
AUUGAACGCUGGCGGCAUGCUUUACACAUGCAAGUCGAACGGUAACAGGUUAAGCUGACGAGUGGCGAACGGGUGAGUAAUGCAUCGGAACGUGCCCGGUCGUGGGGGAUAACGCAGCGAAAGCUGCGCUAAUACCGAAUACGAUCUGAGGAUGAAAGCGGGGGACCGAAAGGCUUCGCGCGAUCGGAGCGGCCGACGCAAGAUUAGGUAGUUGGUGGGGUAAAGGCUCACCAAGCCAACGAACUGUAGCUGGUCUGAGAGGACGACCAGCCAAACGGGGACUGAGACACGGCCCAGGCUCCUACGGGAGGCAGCAGUGGGGAAUUUUGGACAAUGGGCGAAAGCCUGAUCCAGCAAUGCCGCGUGCAGGAAGAAGGCCUUCGGGUUGUAAACUGCUUUUGUACGGAGCGAAAAGGUCUCCUCUAAUACAGGGGGCUCAUGACGGUACCGUAAGAAUAAGCACCGGCUAACUACGUGCCAGCCGCCGCCGUAA